AUUGAACGCUGGCGGCAUGCUUUACACAUGCAAGUCGAACGGUAACAGGCCUUCGGGUGCUGACGAGUGGCGAACGGGUGAGUAAUGCAUCGGAACGUGCCCAGAGGUGGGGGAUAACGCAGCGAAAGCUGUGCUAAUACCGCAUGUGAUCUGAGGAUGAAAGCGGGGGACCAGGCAGCAAUGUUUGGCCUCGCGCCUUUGGAGCGGCCGAUGUCAGAUUAGGUAGUUGGUGGGGUAAAGGCCUACCAAGCCGACGAUCUGUAGCUGGUCUGAGAGGACGACCAGCCGCACUGGGACUGAGACACGGCCCAGACUCCUACGGGAGGCAGCAGUGGGGAAUUUUGGACAAUGGGCGCAAGCCUGAUCCAGCAAUGCCGCGUGCGGGAAGAAGGCCUUCGGGUUGUAAACCGCUUUUGUACGGAACGAAAAGGCUCUGGCUAAUACCUGGGGCUGAUGACGGUACCGUAAGAAUAAGCACCGGCUAACUACGUG
Molecule: ribosomal RNA, 492 nt
Filed under: uncultured bacterium
Lineage: Bacteria
Description: partial 16S ribosomal RNA
Rfam family: Bacterial small subunit ribosomal RNA
Source: RNAcentral